This is a non-coding RNA of Phoenix dactylifera (date palm), 2905 nucleotides long. Lineage: Eukaryota; Viridiplantae; Streptophyta; Magnoliopsida; Arecales; Arecaceae. The record is from RefSeq and is a predicted model, not a curated record.
CCCAAUCAUCUCUUCCACGAUUCAGGGGUAAAAUCUUGCGCAGAAGGAUUACAUCAGUAGAAUAUAUAAAUAAAAUAUGUACAUCGCAGCAAGGAACCGGGGAGCAGAGAUAGGAAAGGGCGAUAAAAGAGAGAGGCCAGGGGCGGAAAAGGGGGAAACCUCGGAUAUCUUGCUUUCUUGCUUCCCUAUCCCAAUCCAGCACUCGAAAAUCCUCUUCCAAAGCCCUUGCUCACACCACGCCAUUCAUUCCCUCUUCUUCCUCCUCCUCUCCAGUCUCCAUCCUUCCCGGAUCUCUCUCUCUUUUUCUUUUUCUCCAGUCUCCAUCCUUCCCUCUCUCAGUCUUCCUGAUGAUUAUAUGGGGGCAAUAAUGGGGGCUCGCUGCCGGCCUGCUUCAAAUUCUCUGUCCGACGAUGGGGGCGAUGGCGAUCGGGAGGGCGUCCCAGUGUUUGGGGAGUUCCGGCUGGAGGAGCUGAGGGCCGUCACUGCCGGCUUCGGCCCCCACCACAUCGUCUCCAAGCACGGCGAGGAGCUCUCCAACGUGGUCUGCCGCGGCCAACUCCCACACACCGAUCGCGUCGUCGCCGUCAAGCGCCUCAACAAGUCCGCCUGGCCCGACCCUCGCCAGCUGCUCAAGGAGGCGAGAUUCGGGGGUAGCUCGAGAGCGAGCGACUGACCAACCUCAUCGGCUGCUGCUGCAAGGGCGAAGAGGGGUUGCUGGUCUCCGAGUUCAUGCCCCACGAAACCCUAGCCAGGAACCUCUUCCACUGUUCCCACUCCACCCCUCCCUCUUCUUCUUUGAUUAUUUUCUCAGCCAAAUAAUCUCGAAAGCUGUUAUUAUCCAUAUGUCGAAAAUGUUCUUGUUCGAUUUUCUUGAUUCGUAUAAUAUGAUCUCUCUUGCAAGUUGCACCAGGAUGGGGUUUUGGCUUUGGUCAUCUUAUCAUCAUUUUGAACUCGUUCUGGUAUUAUUCAUUUAGUUCUCGAUUUAUAAAUAGGAUGGUGGUAGAGACGGUAUUUCUAGAUUUUGCAGAAUAAUUUUACAUAGUCAGGUCACUCUUUCAGGCACCACUUUCUUGAUUUAUAUUAACAAGUAACUGGUUGCUAUGACUGAUGAAUUCCUGGCACGACACUUCAUAGAUUUUGUUCCAUGUUGCUAUGCUAUAUAUAAUCAUUUUUCUUGAAUCAAUUUGGAAGAUGAUGGUGGUUAUUAUCUAUGGUUCAUUGGUACUUACAGAUUUAUGCAGAGUAAUUUCAGAUAUUUCAAUAUAUAUUUUGGGCAUGAUUUCAUAGAUCUAUGAUCUAUUGACAAAAUUUUAGUUAUUAAAGGAGAGAGACUUCUUUACCACUUCCAAAACCAGAUCGUUUGAUUCCAUCUGAUCUACUGCUCUGUAUAUGUUCCUAUAUUUGAUCGACAUGGUAAUAUGUGCUGGAUCGCAGGACCAGUGUUUUUUUUUAAUAUCACAAUUGAAUGGGGGUGCAAAUGAUAAUGGUGUAUUGCAGAGGACACACAGCCCUUGAGUUGGGCAAUGAGAAUAAGAGUAGCACUGUAUUUUGCACAGGUAUUGGAGUAUUGCAGCAGCAGAGGGUGGGCGCUAUAUCAUGAUUUCAAUGCAUACAGUGUCCUCUUUGAUCAGGUGAGAUCAUCACUGAGGCAUCUGCGUCUUAUUCUUCGCUUCUCAUAGAGGUGCUGCAUUUGUUGCUACUUGCUGUUUUGCCAUCGGGCAUUUGAUAGGACAGUAAUCCCUGGCUGUCCUGUUUUGGCCUCAUGAAGAACAGUAGAGAUGGAAGGAGCUGUGGUACUAACUUGGCCUUCAUGCCUCUGGUGUACUGCAGGAUGGAUUAGCAUUGUAUUGAAAUGGCUUUUGGUUUGGCAUAGAAAAAGUUUUUAUGUUCUGUGACAUCCAUUGACUUGGCUAAAUGCAAUCCUUUUCAUGAGUUUUCUAUGUCGAGGCACUAUAUUAUCUUAAACUCGUUAAAAUACAAUACUUCUUGCAUGUGUUUGAUUGCCUAAUUCAAUGACAGCACGUGGUGCAUCAUGUUGUAUGUUGAGAAAAGAUGUUGGCAUUAUAGAAAAUGGCCUCAGGAAGAAUGUCCUUUUAAACAUCAUGACUAAACUAUUUUAUUCUUUUCAGCACUCUGUUUGACAUGUUUUCUUUCCUCUUGAAUCAGUAAUAAGUUCCUUAGCAUGGGAGGAGUAACAGAACUGCUAAAAUCUCCAUGCAACUAGUUUACUUUCCUUCUUGACUAUUGAAUUCCAUGGACUGUCUACUGUGCAUGAAAAAGAGUUUCUAUAUCAUUCAAGGUUGGAAAACAUCAUUCAUUCCUUGUUGGCUUGAUUUGGCAGGAAGAGUGACCCCAGAGAGUGUGGUAUACAGCUUUGGAACUCUUUUGCUGGACCUUCUUAGUGGAAAGCAUAUUCCCCUAAGUCAUAUGGCAACUUUGUCCCCAAAAACAUGGAGUAUAUCACCUUCCUGGGGCUUAGAAAGAACAGUAUCUCAAACCAUGCUCACAAAUGAUUCAAGGCGCAUUAACUAAUGACUGAUGAUGUACAGAAGCAGUCUUGCCUGGAUCAAAGCAGGUACCAUCAUAUACUUAUGGAUAUUUCACAUUGUUCUGCAACCUCAAUGCAAGCACUCUCGGUCUUCUCCUGGGGAAGCUUGUGCCGUUUGGACCUUAACUGUUAUGCAUGAAAUAUUAGAGAAGUUUGGAUACGAGGAUGGUGAGGGAGUUGCCAAUGAGGUUGGAAAACUGCUUUUUAUCACUUUCUCCAGAUAAUUUUGACUAGCAGUUGCUUCUUUAUUUCUAUUUCUAGACUCUUUUAUCUCUGCCAUAUGGUUGCCCUCCAGAUUUUUCCUCAUACACUCUUUCAGUGUAACUUUAGAUAGGUCGGAAACAGUAAUUUAGUGCA